GACGAACGCUGGCGGCGUGCUUAACACAUGCAAGUCGAACGGAAAGGCCCUGCUUGCAGGGUACUCGAGUGGCGAACGGGUGAGUAACACGUGGGUGAUCUGCCCUGCACUUCGGGAUAAGCUUGGGAAACUGGGUCUAAUACCGGAUAGGACCGCACUUUAGUGUGUGUGGUGGAAAGUUUUUUCGGUGUAGGAUGAGCUCGCGGCCUAUCAGCUUGUUGGUGGGGUAAUGGCCUACCAAGGCGGCGACGGGUAGCCGGCCUGAGAGGGUGUACGGCCACAUUGGGUCUGACAUGCGGCCGAGACGCCUAAGGGAGGAAGCAGUGGGGAAGAUUGAACAAUGGGCGCAAGCCGGAUGCAGCGACGCCGCGGGGGGGAUGAAGGCUUUCGGGUUGUAAACUCCUUUCGCUAGGGACGAAGCUUUUUGUGACGGUACCUAGAUAAGAAGCACCGGCUAACUACGUG
RNAcentral lists this ribosomal RNA (465 nucleotides) under uncultured bacterium. Its description in RNAcentral is "partial 16S ribosomal RNA". It matches the Rfam family "Bacterial small subunit ribosomal RNA", at positions 28 to 507 of the family's 1533-position model. The record is from RNAcentral.